UAGUCCACGCCGUAAACGAUGAUCACUAGAUGUUGGUUUUGCUUAGCAAGAUCAGUGUCGAAGCUAACGCGUUAAGUGAUCCGCCUGAGUAGUACGGUCGCAAGACUAAAACUCAAAGAAAUUGACGGGGGUCCGCACAAGCGGUGGAACAUGUGGUUUAAUUCGACACUACGCGAGAAACCUUACCUAGGCUUGACAUGUAAUCGCUACCAGUGGAAACAUUGGGUUCUGUGUUUACACAGACGGUUACACAGGUGCUGCAUGGCUGUCGUCAGCUCGUGUCGUGAGAUGUUGGGUUAAGUCCUUUAACGAGCGCAACCCUUGCCGUUAGUUGCUACCUUUAGAGCACUCUAGCGGGACUGCCUUGGAAACAAGGAGGAAGUGGGAUGACGUCAAGUCCUCAUGGCCCUUAUGCCUAGGGCUACACACGUGUUACAAUGGCGAGUACAACGGGAAGCGAAGUCGCGAGGCGGAGCAAAUCCUGCAAAACUCGUCUAAGUUCGAUUG
This 507-nucleotide ribosomal RNA is filed under the name uncultured bacterium. RNAcentral describes it as "bacterial SSU rRNA". It matches the Rfam family "Bacterial small subunit ribosomal RNA", at positions 791 to 1300 of the family's 1533-position model. The record is from RNAcentral.